AAAGUAAUAAGAAUGUGGGUGGAUAUGCAAGAAACAACUGAAUCCCUCCUUCCCUCCCUCUUUUUCUUCAAUAAAUAUUUAUUAGGCCUAAGCCAAGUCUCUUAAAAACCUUAUAGCAAAGGCUAUAGACACCUAAAAGAUAACAAAUUAAUUACCAUUGUAAUAUAUAAUGAGGGAGAACUUAGGGUACCUUGAGGAUGUAUUUUAGGGAGACUUAGCUAGUCUCAGAAACUAGGAAGGGCUUUCCUUGAGGAAUUCACAUGUAAUUGAAUUUGAAUGACGAGUAAGAGCUACUUGGAGAGGGGGCUUUCCCAGCAAAGAGAGUCUUGGCAGGGUCUGAAGCACAGGGGAGACUAGCAUUUUCCAGGAAUGGAAGGAGUAGAUGUGAGUAAAGACCAAGGAGGAAAAUUACAAGAUAAACCUUGGUGGGUGAACUAAGCCCCAAGGCAGCAGAGUCUUGAGGAGCUUUUGAGGGUGCAUGGUUUAGUCUAAGGGGAAAAAUGAGGGGAGAUAUUGAAGGAGUUGAAAGAAGAAAUGGGCCACACAGGUGUAGGUUUUUGAAAGAGGACUCUGACUGCAGUCUAGGAAAAGGAAAUAUAGUAAUGGGGAGAAGCCAGUUCAGAGACUUUUGUUAGAGAAGAAUAGAGAUUAUGGUGGUUUGGACUAAGUUUGUGGCAUUGGCGAGAAGAGAUGCAUGGAUUCGGGGCACAGGGUUCCCUGUAAUAGGAGUGUGUGAACAACCAGCACAGCUUAGGCUGAGAAUACAAGUUGGCAGUUUAAAAUGGCCAGCUUAUAUAUUACCUCUUACCUGGUACCUACCUAUCACUAACAACCUUGUGACGCCAUGUGCUAUUACUUCCACUCUACAGCUCAGGAAAAAGCUCAAAGCAAAUAAAACUUGGCUUGUGUUAGAAGCCUGGGUUUCUGGCUCUGAAUCCAUUUCCUUUUCCUUACACUGAAUUACCCUAAGUAGUGAUGACAAAAUUAAAAAAAAAAAAUCAUUUUGACUAACCAUCUACCUGGCCUUGGGCAAGUUACUCUCUGAUUCUGGAAAUAAUCUCUAAGGUCUCUUUGAGCUCAAAAAAUUAGAUGACUUUGUGAUUUUAUUCUGAUUGGGGAGAAGUCUAGUCUUAAUUAGCAAAAUGACUGAAUUAAAUACAAUUUUUAAAGAAUGCUGUUUUAUUACAUUCAGGUACAUACAAAGAAAACUAAUUCCCAACAAAGUAUUUUCAGGAAGAGGGUCUUGCUGACCUAGUUUUAUGGCCAGAUUAAAAAAAAAAAAAGCUAAAUUCUUUUUAAAUGGCAGUGGCAUCAUGUAUUUCCAGUUAAGUCACUAAAGUCCUAACACUGGCUCUUUUUUGUUACAUGUUAUACCAUCACCUCUAUAAAACUUUAUACCACUAGACAUUUGAGCUUAAUUCAAUAUACAUUUAUUGGGAGUCUAGUAUUCUUAAGAAAUAAUUUUCUAAAGUGUAAUAGACAAAAUAUGACCAAACUGUAAAGCAGAUUGGUUCAGAAAUAAGUUAGAGAAACCAGAGGAUGAGAGUGUAUCAUGGAAAUGGCCUGAAGUCUGAUACUAAAGACCAGGAUGAUUUAUAGGGGAAGGAAAAAGAUGAAGGAUACUCCCAUUGGGAAAAAUAAUGCAAAUAAAGGAACACAGAAAGGAUGUGCUGUUUUGGGGUUGUAGUAUGGACUCUAGCCUGAGUAGAGUUAAGGGCUGAUGUUGGAAAAUAUCAGCAAAGAAGCCUGGAGACUCCGGGUGAACUUUGGAUGCCAGGCCGAGCCAUUUGUACUUGAUCCUGAAAGAAAUAAAGAGCCAUUGAUUGGUUCAGGAAGGAAGUGACAUAAAGGAAAUGUUGCUUCUGGAAGACUAAUUUGAUGCGAAGAUGCCAUUUGCAUGCAUAAUACAGAGUCAAAUGCAAGCCUUGCCUCUGUUUACUGCAAAUUUCAAGCUACUUAGUUUUUUUUUUUCUGUAUAAAAUUGACAAAUACAUGAUGCAAGAACAUAACUUUUAAAGUAAGUCAGUUCACAUUGUGAGUGUGAAUAUCUCACAAUGUAAACCGGUUUGUAUUGUGUCAGUUAAUACUGUGAGUGUGAAUUGUGUCAUCUUCUGAAGACACACACACACAUGCACCGAUGUGUGUAUGUAUGCCCUGUAGGAUGACUUUGACAUAGGGAUCUAUGUUGUACUGAGGCAUGUAUGUUAUUAACAAGACAAUAAGGAUUUGUGUGUGUGAUGUAUAGUAUGAAAUAUAUGAUGAGUAGGUAGUGAGGAUAGCUUUUCCUAGAUUGCUGGGUUUCCGAUGUAGACCAUCUGUUUAGUUCUGUUCUUGUAUAAUAUAUGGUGAGAAAAUAUUGUUAAAUAAACCUUGGCAACACUGAAGGAACUUUGAAGUGCUUCCCAUUGCGUUCCAAAGCAAAGCUUGCUUUUUUACAUUCUUAGAAUGAGUGAAGCUACAGUUUUCCCUGAUAGGAUUUAAAGAUUCAUUUGUAUUUUUAAAAGUUUCUCAUUAUAGAUUAAUGUGUUCAUUGUAGAAAAAUGAAAAAAAACAGAAAGAACUGAAAAAAUGGAAGUUUAAUUAUAUGUUCAGUACUAGAGAAAUCUAGAUAACUUUUUUUUUGUUGUUGUAUACCAUUUCAGACUCCCUCCCACCCCCAGGCAUAAGUUAUAGAAUUAGGAUCAUGGUUUACAUAUACUUCGUGAUUUGCUCUUCUCUUUUAAUAGCAUGUUGUGAAAUGUCUUUCUCUAUUAUCGAAUAUUCACCUACAGCAUCUUUACUAAUGGUUGCAUAGUGUCCCAUGCCAUAAUGUAUUCAUUAGUGCCCCAUUGAGUAUGAUUUUUGGUGAGGGCUUUUAUUUUAAAAAUAGGGAGAAAUUACAUGAUACCAUCCACCAUUAAUUUGUUCUUGCUUCAUGACCUUAGUGGUUUAUAGCACCCUUAGGAAACUGACUAGCCUAUUAAUCCAGUGUUAUUUCAUCUUUCAGAAGGCAUGUUGAUUUUCCUCCUGUAUCUCAUGUUUGGUGGCUUGCUCAGUGCUACAUCCUUGUUAAUAGAUCCCAUGAUCUGUUCAUAAGUUCCUAUGUGUUCACAACAAGUUACACUUUACAAAGUGCUUUCUAUGUGCUCACUUGUUUGAGUGUUGAGUACCUGCAACGCGAGCAUUGCGUGCAAGAUACCUAGUUCAGUGCUUGACAACGUAAUGAAAGCUCUAAAAAUAUUAGUUGCUGCUGUAAUUUGACAGCGAUGGUCAUGUUAUCUCCUUGAAUUCUACUUUGAAUUAAAUUUUUUUUUUGGUUAGGGAUUAUUAUACCUCUUUUAAGAAUGAGGAAAUUGAGACUUUAGAAGGCUCAGUAACUUAAGUGCGAGCAUGAGUAGUACAGCAGUCUUCCUGCUGGCCCAGUGCUCUUUUCUCUCCCCUGCCCUUCCUCAAGUGGGGACAGAGCAUCAAUUGCUUUAUGCUUCUCACUGGGAUUUGGCUUCAUUAUGAAAAGGGAGCUUCACCUGACUCCCCUUUGAUGCCUGCUUGUGGGGAAAUCUCUCUGGCAAAUCUCAAAUGGUCUAGAGUGUGGCAGUUUAAAAGCAUAUCUACAUUGAUCUGCCAUCUCAAGGUCCCACCUUUGAGUUACUUUUAGAAUUUGUAGGUGGAUGCCAUCCAGCAAGGAUGACUCAUUUACAUUUGAUUUGCAAUUUGUUUGUAAAGAUCACAUCUCUAGCAUCCUUUGAUCUGAUUGUCCUUUUAAAAUAUGGAACAGGUGAAUGACCUUGAGAUAGACUGAGGCAAAAGAUAGUUCCUGGCUUUUACCUUGUUACCCUGAGGAUGCUUUCUCAUUCCUGUGGCCAGGUGGUUUGUGGAAUCCUUCUCAUCUCCUCCUGUUGCUACACUUAACAGAUUUACAUUAGGCUCUCUAGACUCUUGCAUGGGAUUCCUUGGUUUCUUUGUUUAGAUGCCUAUAAUUUCUAUGAAGUACCAUAUUUUGUGGCCUUCCUUGAUUUAAAAAUAUAUAUAUAUAUGUUUAUAUUUUUAUUUUUCCUCUGUCUUUUAUUUAUUUAUUUUAAUUUUGUCUUUUUUUUAGGGCCGCACCUGCGACAAAUGGAGGUUCCCAGGCUAGGGGUCUAAUUGGAGCUGUUGCUGCCAGCCUACACCACAGCAACAGCAGAUCUGAUCCGAGUCUGCAACCUACACCACAGCUCAUGGCAGUGCCGGAUCCUUAACCCACUGAGCUAGGUUGGGGAUGGAACCCGCAACCUCAUGGUUCCUAAUCAGAUUCAUUUCUGCUGCACCACGAUGGGAACUCCUCCUUUGUCUUUUAAUAUAUCUUAAACUUUAUUAGUUGGUAAUACAAGAUUUUUAAGCAUUUUUUUUUCUUUCUCCCUGCCAACCUUCCUCUCCUCUUUCUCUCCCUCCAUCCCUAAUUUCCUUCCUUCCUUACAUUUAAUCUUGGGCUUUAAAAUGUUUCUAAAGAGCUUUAAGAGAUCUGGUGGGUUAUUUUUAUCUGUAGGUUUUCUUUUCUAAUAAUGUCAUCUUUGUUCCUGUUUUCUUUAAAAAAUAACAUUGUGAUUGAUUUUUUUGGAUUUCCCUUACCACUAGGAUGUGGGGUUGAGUUUUGUUGGACAUGGCUUAGCCUCAGCUGAUUUCUGCAGCUACUUUGUAUAAAGAGUCCUGCUCCCCUACCCAGCUGACUUUCUUCCUAUUCAUUCUAGAACUACCUGUCCCAGGGAGCAGUUGGAUGGCCUAUUGAGCACACACACACACACCAUUUUAGAAAAUACUGUAUUUUUAUCCUACUCUGCAUUAAAUAAUCAAAAAGCCUCAUUGUUCACAUAGCCUUUUGGUUUUAGUUUUCCAUAUUAGUUUCAUUGUCAUAAUAAGGUGGAGUAUUAAAUCUCCCAGGUGCAACAGUUGAAUUAUUUAAGUAUAAAAUUUUUGUUUUUAACACUAGUGUACUUUCUCUCUCUCUCCCUCCCUUUUUUUUUGAGGGCCUCACCCAUGGCAUAUGGAAGUUCCCAGACUAAUCUGUGACCUAUAUCGCAGCUCACCACAAUGCAGCAUCCUUAACACACUGAGCAUGGCCAGGCAUUGAACCCACAUCCUUAUGGAUACUAGUCAGGUUUGUUACUGCUGAGCCACAAUGGAAACUCCAGUCUCUUAUUUCUCAUUUCAAGGGUUGUACCUGUUAGUUCCUCUUAAGCACUUAUGACAAUUUCAGGUUGUAUUCUCUACAUUCCUAUUGUGACUACUGAUGUAGCUACUGUUGUUUCUAGUUCUAAAUGAUUGCCACACACCCCUAUCUGGGCUCAUAGCAAUUAAUUCCCUACCUUUGGGCAAAGAGGUCUUUUACUAACCCUCAGGUCAGUAUAGUGUCAUGGAGAGGCAAAAUAUAAAGUUUCUAGCUUUGGCUCUAUCAUAUAUGUUUUUGUUCUGUUUUUUGUUUGUUUCAUUUUUGGCCUCACCUACAGCACAUAGAAGUUCUGAGGCCAGGGAUUGAAACUGAGCCUCAUCUGCGACCUAUAUCACAGCUAGUGAUAACACUGGAUCCUUAACCCACUGUGCCUAUCCUUUCCCACAGCGGGAACUCCCUAUCACAGGUGUUUUUGAGGAAAGUCAGUUAAUAUCAUUGGACUCAGUUCCGUCAUGUGUAGGGAUUGGAGGAAAAUAUAACUAGUUUUUUUCCAAUACUGUGUUUGUCUUUGCCUAUAUUCUUUCUAGAAUGCUUGUAUGGGUCACAAGCAAGGGAAAUUUUAAUUUAUAAUGCAUAGUAGAGUAAUUUCAAAGAGCUCACCACUUGGUAAGGUGGACUUAAUCAUGUCACUAAACAAUGGCAUCUAAAUCUUAUGAGAGCAAUGCAGUUAACCUAUAGGAAAACCCAGUCCUCUUGCCACUGAUUCCUACAUUGAUUUGAAUGAAAUACGAUGCAGUGUGUAAGGCUGUCCACACAGCC
RNAcentral lists this long non-coding RNA (5941 nucleotides) under Sus scrofa (pig). Its description in RNAcentral is "lncRNA (ENSSSCG00000055801.1)". The record is from RNAcentral. Lineage: Eukaryota; Metazoa; Chordata; Mammalia; Artiodactyla; Suidae.